RNAcentral lists this ribosomal RNA (1644 nucleotides) under Triticum aestivum (bread wheat). Its description in RNAcentral is "partial small subunit ribosomal RNA". Lineage: Eukaryota; Viridiplantae; Streptophyta; Magnoliopsida; Poales; Poaceae. The record is from RNAcentral.
AUGCCAAGAAUGGCUCCGACUCGGCCUUGUCUGGCAUUGGCGCGGUGGGUGCUCCUGGCGGCUGUGGCGGCGAGGCUCGCCGGCGCUGAUGACCCCUACCGCUACUUCACCUGGAUUGUGACGUAUGGCCCCAUCAACCCGCUCGGCACCACCCAGCAGGGCAUCCUCAUCAACGGGCAGUUCCCGGGCCCUCGCAUCGACUGCGUCACCAACGACAACCUCAUCGUCAACGUCGUCAACAACCUCGACGAGCCAUUCCUCAUCACAUGGAACGGGAUCAAGCAGCGGAAGAACUCAUGGCAGGACGGCGUGGCGGGCACCAACUGCCCCAUCCCGCCCGGUGCCAACUACACCUACAAGUUCCAGGCCAAGGACCAGAUCGGCACCUUCACCUACUUCCCCUCUGUCGCGCUGCACCGCGCCGCCGGAGGGUUCGGCGCCCUCAACGUUUACCAGCGACCCGCCAUCCCCGUCCCCUACCCGGCCCCAGCCGGCGACUUCACACUUCUCGUCGGUGACUGGUACCUCGCCGGACACGACCAGCUCCGCCAGACACUCGACUCCGGCGCGCCGCUCCCGUUCCCGGACGCGCUGCUCAUCAACGGCAUGCCCUCCGCCACCUUGGUGGGCGACCAAGGGAGGACGUAUCUGUUGAGAGUGUCCAAUGUCGGGAUGAAGACGUCGAUAAACUUCCGGAUCCAGGGCCAUGCUCUGAAGCUGGCGGAGGUGGAAGGUACGCACCCGGUGCAGAACGUCUACGACUCCCUGGACGUGCACGUCGGUCAGUCCGUGGCGUUCCUCGUCACCCUCGACCAGCCGCCCAUGGACUACGCCGUGGUGGCGUCGACGCGGUUCAACCCGGCCGACACCAGCCCGCUAACGGCGGUCGGGACGCUGCAUUACAGCAGCGCCACCUCCUUGGCGCCUGGCCCGCUCCCGGCAGGACCGCCGGAGGAGAGCGAGUGGUCGAUGAACCAGGCAAGAUCCUUCCGGUGGAACCUGACGGCCAGCGCCGCGCGGCCCAACCCGCAGGGGUCGUUCCACUACGGCACUAUCCAGACGUCGAGGACGCUGGUCUUGGCCAGCUCAGCUGCCGUCGUCGCUGGGCAGAGACGGUACGCCGUGAACGGCGUCUCAUUCGUCGUACCGGACACGCCUCUGAAGCUCCUGGACAACUACAACAUCGCAAACGUGAUCGAAUGGGACAGUGUCCCGGAGCGGCCCGACGGCGGGGCACCCCGGCCCGGGACGCCUGUGGUCAGGCUCAACCUGCACGAGUUCGUGGAGGUGGUGUUCCAGAACACCGAGAACGAGAUGCAGUCGUGGCAUCUUGACGGAUAUGAUUUCUGGGUCGUCGGGUACGGCGAUAAUGGGCAGUGGACGGAGAAUGAGCGGCUGAACUACAACCUGGUCGACGCGCAAGCGAGGCAUACUGUUCAGGUGUAUCCGAACGGAUGGUCGGCGAUCUUGGUGUCGCUGGACAACCAAGGGAUGUGGAACCUGAGGUCGGCGAACUGGGACCGGCAGUACCUCGGCCAGCAGCUGUACCUGAGGGUCUGGACGGCGGAGCAGAGCUUCUCCAACGAGUACAGCAUCCCGACCAACGCCAUACUCUGCGGCAGAGCUGCCGGCCUUCCACACUGA